RNAcentral lists this small RNA (664 nucleotides) under Pongo abelii (Sumatran orangutan). RNAcentral describes it as "processed transcript". The record is from RNAcentral. Lineage: Eukaryota; Metazoa; Chordata; Mammalia; Primates; Hominidae.
GCAUUUGAGCUGAAAUAUGAAUCUUAUAUUUUAAAACAAAUACAAAUGAUUAUGAGAUGGUAUUAAAAACUCGAUAACUAAGAUAUUCUUGCAAUUUUUUUUUUUUUUAAACCAGGAAGGAGAAGAUGCAGUCCAGUUUGCUAACAGGGUUAAGUCUGCUAUUGCUAUACAAGGAGGCCUGACUGAACUUCCCUGGGAUGGAGGACUAAAGAGAGCAAAGGUGAAGGACAUCUUUAAGGAAGAGCAGCAGAAAAAUUACAGCAAGAUGAUUGUGGGCAAUGGAUCUCUCAGCUAAGAGGACGGAUGACAGCCUUUAGAUCUAGAACUAGCCCUUAGAAAUGGAAUGGCUUUAUUUUUUGUUUUGUUUUAUUGUUUUGUUUUUAUUAUUGUUAAUCUUUUCUACAGAAUGAUUGUCUCUACCUCUUUAUGCCAGAGGCAGAACCUACAGGUGCCCUUUUUGGCUUUUGUUGUUGUUGUAACAUUAGCCCCAUGGAUUGUAAGGUGGUUUACUGAGUUAAAACAGAUUCUGCAUUUGUAAAAUGAUGGCGUCACUGUGGACUGAAUGAAAUAUUUGUAUAGAAAAAGUGCUUGUAAAGUGUGUUUGGAACUCAUUGAUAGGGUAAUUCUCCAAAAAUGCCCAAACUCUUUUUCUGUAAUUAGCCUU